CAAGUUCUAUUCGUGAAUUGAUUUUGCCCAAAUUGGAUUCUGAAACUUAAAAAAAAAAAAAACAGAAAAAAACUCAAACAGUGCCUGUAAGCAGUAUCAGAAGGUCAUUCAUUAUCAAACCAUUGGUUUUUCUUUAUUUUAUUAUUAUUAUUUUUUUUUGUGUGUGUGUAGCAACAUGUUAGUUCUAUGAUAGAGAAUUUUUCAAACUUGUCAUUCUGGAGAAACUGCGUUGACCUGAUCCCUGGACGGCAGGUCAGGAAAGGCACAGUGUGGAAUAUGGGAGCAGAAAGGACAAGAAAGAUGGAACAGACUCUCAGGGAGGAGAGACUCCGCCUGCAGUGAUUGCCUCACUCCGCAUGGGCCACCAUCCCUCUCUGGAUCACCUUUGCAACGAUUAUUCCCUCUUCAACCUCGUCUUCUCCUUGGACCCAAAAUGCUUUGCUAAAGCUGGUAAAAUGGAACCAAAUCAACUGUUUAAUGGAUUUGGUCCCCUUCAACCAGCUGUAGCUGUGCAUUGAUCACUCCGAGGAGCCGACGGACAGCCACGCAGUGGGACAAAAGCGACGCCUCUUUUUUCCUCUCCACACAUAAACUCAUUGUCGUGUGUUUCUCAGCACCGGCGACUGUGUGCAUUUAUCUCUGUUAAAAAGAUUACCAGAAGCAAUUUAUUUAAUCUGACUUAAACAAGCCAAGUAAGUAAUUAUAGAUAUCUUAGUGCAUGAAUUGUUAUGCUGUGUAAAGCUGUAACUGUAUUGUCCUUUGGAGAAUUGAAUUGUUCUUUGGAGAUUUUCCCCAAAAGUCUACUGAGAGGUGGAGUUAUAAAGAAGUGAAAUGGCUGAAACACUUUGAGAAAGAUGCUCAGGUUUGUGUGCUCAUGUGUGUAUUAAAUUUCAGUUUAAUAAAGCCUUAUUCCCAACUUCAAAGACCAACUAAGUAUGUGCUUACAAAGCGGUGCUGGAGCUCAUAAGUAAUAAAGUUGCUCUCAUCAA
This is a long non-coding RNA of Poeciliopsis prolifica (blackstripe livebearer), 989 nucleotides long. RefSeq lists it as uncharacterized. Lineage: Eukaryota; Metazoa; Chordata; Actinopteri; Cyprinodontiformes; Poeciliidae. The record is from RefSeq and is a predicted model, not a curated record. The transcript has 3 exons.